Molecule: small nuclear RNA, 107 nt
Organism: Delphinapterus leucas (beluga whale)
Lineage: Eukaryota; Metazoa; Chordata; Mammalia; Artiodactyla; Monodontidae
Source: Ensembl
GUGCUCACUUUGGCAGCACAUAUACUAAAAUUGGAAUGAUACAGAGAAGAUUAGCAUGGCCCCUGCACAAGGAUGACACAUAAAUUUAUGAAGUGUUCUAUAUUUUU